UGCGCAGGCGUCCAGGAAAGUUAUUUGUUAAAGCCUCCGGCUUAACCGGAGAAAUGCAUGUAAAACUAUCUGGAUAGAGUUUAAGAGAGGAAAAUGGAAUUCCUGGUGUAGCGGUGACAUGCGUAGAUAUCAGGAGGAACAUCAAUGGCGAAGGCAGUUUUCUGGCUUAAAACUGACGCUGAGGCACGAAAGCGUGGGGAGCAAACAGGAUUAGAUACCCUGGUAGUCC
This 229-nucleotide ribosomal RNA is filed under the name uncultured bacterium. Its description in RNAcentral is "partial 16S ribosomal RNA". It matches the Rfam family "Bacterial small subunit ribosomal RNA", at positions 568 to 796 of the family's 1533-position model. The record is from RNAcentral.